Molecule: ribosomal RNA, 2859 nt
Filed under: Microbacterium sp. Leaf351
Lineage: Bacteria; Bacillati; Actinomycetota; Actinomycetes; Micrococcales; Microbacteriaceae
Description: bacterial LSU rRNA
Rfam family: Bacterial large subunit ribosomal RNA
Source: RNAcentral
UUCAAGUCUUUAAGAGCAAACGGUGGAUGCCUUGGCAUCUGGAGCCGAAGAAGGACGUAGCAAUCUGCGAUAAGCCUCGGGGAGUGGAUAAGCACACUUUGAUCCGAGGAUCUCCGAAUGGGGAAACCCCGCUGGGCGGCGUGCCGACCCAGUGACUCCCGCCUGAAUAUAUAGGGCGGGUAGAGGGAACGUGGGGAAGUGAAACAUCUCAGUACCCACAGGAAGAGAAAACAACCGUGAUUCCGUUAGUAGUGGCGAGCGAAACCGGAAAAGGCUAAACCGAGCGUGUGUGAUAGCCGGCAGGCGUUGCACGUUCGGGGUUGCGGGACUUUUCAUGCAGUUCUGCCGAAUUGCGAGCGUGACAAGAAGGUAUAGACGAAUGGCAUUGAAAGGCCAGUCAUAGAGGGUGCCAACCCCGUAGUCGAAAUGCCUCACUUGGCGCGAGAAGUAUCCCAAGUAGCACGGGGCCCGAGAAAUCCCGUGUGAAUCUGUCAGGACCACCUGNNNNNNNNNNNNNNGAAAUAGUACCUGAAACCGUUUGCUUACAAACCGUUGGAGCAGCCCUAGCAGCUGUGACAGCGUGCCUUUUGAAGAAUGAGCCUGCGAGUUAGCGAUACGUGGCGAGGUUAACCCGUGAGGGGUAGCCGUAGCGAAAGCGAGUCUGAAUAGGGCGAUUCAGUCGCGUGUCCUAGACCCGAAGCGAAGUGAUCUAUCCAUGGCCAGGCUGAAGCGACGGUAAGACGUCGUGGAGGGCCGAACCCACUUAGGUUGAAAACUGAGGGGAUGAGCUGUGGAUAGGGGUGAAAGGCCAAUCAAACUUCGUGAUAGCUGGUUCUCUCCGAAAUGCAUUUAGGUGCAGCGUUGCGUGUUUCUUGCCGGAGGUAGAGCUACUGGAUGGCCGAUGGGCCCCACCAGGUUACUGACGUCAGCCAAACUCCGAAUGCCGGUAAGUGAGAGCGCAGCAGUGAGACUGUGGGGGAUAAGCUUCAUAGUCGAGAGGGAAACAACCCAGACCACCAACUAAGGUCCCAAAGCGCGUGCUAAGUGGGAAAGGAUGUGGAGUUGCUCAGACAACCAGGAGGUUGGCUUAGAAGCAGCCACCCUUGAAAGAGUGCGUAAUAGCUCACUGGUCAAGUGAUUCCGCGCCGACAAUGUAACGGGGCUCAAGCACGCCACCGAAGUUGUGGCAUUGACAUUAGUGGUAGNCCCAGCCGUGGACGCGACACGAGUGAGAAUGCAGGCAUGAGUAGCGAAAGACGUGUGAGAAACACGUCCUCCGAAAGACCAAGGGUUCCAGGGUCAAGCUAAUCUUCCCUGGGUAAGUCGGGACCUAAGGCGAGGCCGACAGGCGUAGUCGAUGGACAACGGGUUGAUAUUCCCGUACCGGCGAAGAACCGCCCCAAUCAAUCCAGUGGUGCUAAAUGCCCGAAUCCUCAUACUCAAUCCUUCGGGAAGCGGUGUGAGGGCUAGCGCAUGACCCCAUGCUGGUGCGGUUAGCGUAUUAACAGGUGUGACGCAGGAAGGUAGCCCAAGCCAGGCGAUGGUAGUCCUGGUGCAAGUGCGUAGGCUGAGUGAUAGGCAAAUCCGUCACUCGUUCGGCUGAGACACGAUGCGGAUAAAAAGUGGGUGAUCCUAUGCUGCCAAGAAAAGCAUCGACGCGAGGUUCAAGCCGCCCGUACCCCAAACCGACUCAGGUGGUCAGGUAGAGAAUACCAAGGAGAUCGAGAGAAUCGUGGUUAAGGAACUCGGCAAAAUGCCCCCGUAACUUCGGGAGAAGGGGGGCCUUCGACGUAUUAGGACUUGCUCCGAAAGCGUUUGGAGGCCGCAGAGACUAGUGGGUAGCGACUGUUUACUAAAAACACAGGUCCGUGCCAAGUCGCAAGACGAUGUAUACGGACUGACGCCUGCCCGGUGCUGGAAGGUUAAGAGGAAGGGUUAGCGUAAGCGAAGCUCAGAAUUUAAGCCCCAGUAAACGGCGGUGGUAACUAUAACCAUCCUAAGGUAGCGAAAUUCCUUGUCGGGUAAGUUCCGACCUGCACGAAUGGCGUAACGACUUCCCAACUGUCUCAACCGCGAACUCGGCGAAAUUGCAUUACGAGUAAAGAUGCUCGUUACGCGCAGCAGGACGGNNNNNNNGGGAGACUUUGAAGCUUGGACGCCAGUUCAGGUGGAGUCAUUGUUGAAAUACCACUCUGGUCACUCUGGAUAUCUAACUUAGAACCGUAAUCCGGUUCAGGGACAGUGCCUGGUGGGUAGUUUAACUGGGGCGGUUGCCUCCCAAAAAGUAACGGAGGCGCCCAAAGGUUCCCUCAAUCUGGUUGGCAAUCAGAUGUCGAGUGUAAGUGCACAAGGGAGCUUGACUGUGAGACUGACAGGUCGAGCAGGGACGAAAGUCGGGACUAGUGAUCCGGCAGUGGCUUGUGGAAGCGCUGUCGCUCAACGGAUAAAAGGUACCUCGGGGAUAACAGGCUGAUCUUGCCCNNNNNNGUAGGUCCCAAGGGUUGGGCUGUUCGCCCAUUAAAGCGGUACGCGAGCUGGGUUUAGAACGUCGUGAGACAGUUCGGUCCCUAUCCGCUGCGCGCGUAGGAAGUUUGAGAGGAUCUGACCCUAGUACGAGAGGACCGGGUUGGACGAACCUCUGGUGUGUCAGUUGUUCCGCCAGGAGCACCGCUGAUUAGCUACGUUCGGGAUGGAUAACCGCUGAAAGCAUCUAAGCGGGAAGCCGGCCUCAAGAUGAGACUUCCAUGCCUUCGGGCGAGAGGCUCCCAGCCAGACUACUGGGUUGAUAGGCCGGAUGUGGAAGCGCGGUAACGCGUGAAGCUGACCGGUACUAAUAAGCCGAUGACUUGAUAACACCUC